GAAAAACCUCCCCGAGGUGGCUCUGAUGUGCAGGACAGAAAAUUAGGCGCAGGAACAACAAAGUUGAAAGAAUUACAUGGGACAGCUUGUAUUAGUGCAUUAUCUGGGUCAUGGGGAAAUGAUCCUAAUGGAGAAGUAUAUCAAGUGUAUAAAAUGAACUUCCUUUGCAACAUCAAGGAAGUUAAAUAUUCCAGUUUUAUCCUUUUGCUU
RNAcentral lists this unclassified non-coding RNA (210 nucleotides) under Hevea brasiliensis (rubber tree). Lineage: Eukaryota; Viridiplantae; Streptophyta; Magnoliopsida; Malpighiales; Euphorbiaceae. The record is from RNAcentral.